This 73-nucleotide microRNA precursor is filed under the name Myotis davidii. Its description in RNAcentral is "mir-9193 microRNA precursor family". It matches the Rfam family "mir-9193 microRNA precursor family". Lineage: Eukaryota; Metazoa; Chordata; Mammalia; Chiroptera; Vespertilionidae. The record is from Rfam by way of RNAcentral.
CUUGGGGCGGGGGUCCCUCAACCUGGAUUGCCUGAGAGCGCAGGCCAGGCCGAGGGACCCCCACCAGUGCACG